Molecule: ribosomal RNA, 448 nt
Filed under: uncultured bacterium
Lineage: Bacteria
Description: SSU rRNA
Rfam family: Bacterial small subunit ribosomal RNA
Source: RNAcentral
AGAGCGAACGCUGGCGGCAGGCUUAACACAUGCAAGUCGAGCGGAUGUAGCAAUACAUCAGCGGCAGACGGGUGAGUAACACGUGGGAACGUACCUUUUGGUUCGGAACAACACAGGGAAACUUGUGCUAAUACCGGAUAAGCCCUUACGGGGAAAGAUUUAUCGCCGAAAGAUCGGCCCGCGUCUGAUUAGCUAGUUGGUGAGGUAAUGGCUCACCAAGGCGACGAUCAGUAGCUGGUCUGAGAGGAUGAUCAGCCACAUUGGGACUGAGACACGGCCCAAACUCCUACGGGAGGCAGCAGUGGGGAAUAUUGGACAAUGGGCGCAAGCCUGAUCCAGCCAUGCCGCGUGAGUGAUGAAGGCCCUAGGGUUGUAAAGCUCUUUUGUGCGGGAAGAUAAUGACGGUACCGCAAGAAUAAGCCCGGCUAACUUCGCGCCAGCCAGCCGC